AGAGAGACCCAAACACUAACUGGGGGCCCAUCUCUUGGAAGAAGAAGUGAAGCAGUCACGGAGCCAAGAGGUGGUGCAGGUGCCACCUGCACUGUGAGAAUCAUUGACAGACAGCAACAAUACAUCUACUCUAUACAGAAGAAUAUGUAGAAAAUCAAGUAUGAAGUGUAAUCUCAUUAUCAAAGAGAAGACAAAGCUUUGAUGUCAACAGGAGUCCUUCUGUAGACUUUGAUAUAGAAUUAAUUUCAGUAAUCUUAAUUAUUUUGCCCCAGUCUUAAUAUCUUUAUUGCACCACUUUUCCUAAAAGAGAGCAAACAGUUUGGGGAUUUUCUUUUCUUUCUUAUUCAAUUUUGUUUUGGUUUCAGUGGGAGUGUUUGGUGUUGGUUGAGUUGCUGAGAAAGAAGUCCUGAGGGACAAGAGAGGUUGUGUGUGUCUUGGAAUGUAGAUGUAGGUGGCAUAUUGGCCUUAUGAUGGAUGCAGAGAAUUGAGGAGUGAUAAUUCACCCAAAAUCCCCAAUUGUAAUAUUUUGAUGUAUUAUGACAAUAUAAUCUUGUGUAUUAAUAACAGAUUAUAAUAUGUAUAUUUAUAGGGUAGUAUGUUGCCAGAUGAGAUUUGCUUAUGUAAAUUGUGCUACCUGUGUUUGAAACUGAUAGUGGCUGUGACUUAAUGGUGCUCCAAAAAGCACAUUGUAGCUUCAGUCUUAGGUGGGAUUGUGUGUUUGAAGAAGUCUCUCAAUGUUUAUUUGUUUCCUCCCUAUUCUCUCUUUAGGAUUUUUAGAAAAAUGUAUUUCCUCCAAGAACUCUAGUCUCCUAAUUUGGUGAUAUACAUUUCAUUUAGCUGUGUGCCCCUUUAUGCGGUCUUGAUUUAAUGUGUCAUUUUCUUCUGCCUCACAGAACAGGGACGAGUGAGCAAGAACCAAAACUUUUCUGAAAACAGCAAGAAAGGCUUUAUUAUAUAAAGCUUAAACAGAAAAGCAAGAGUGACAGGAUUUCCAUACAACUGAAAGAUUAUCUUCUUUAAAUGUGUAACUCAUGUUUGCUCUUUAUGGGCAGAUUGUUAGACUGUAUGUUCAGCUCUCUCAUGAGGCAUUUAGGACUUCAAAUGCAAUAAUAAAUUAAUUUGAAAGAUAGAGACAAUAAUAAGAGAUUUGAUUUCAGACCAGAGACGUGAAACUUUUGUGGAAUUCUCAAACACUAAAAAGCAUAAAUGACAGCUUUAUUUACUUGUGUAAAUGAGCCCACCAAGGGGGCAAAACACAAGAUCAACAGUGUUAGGAAGAGCAGCUCCUUUUUUCAUCUCCAGAGAGAUGUGCCUUUCAUCAGUGUUAUUCCAGCUUUCCUCCACGUCACUUGGCUACCCCAGUCCCCUGAGAGGCCAAGGCAGCAAAGCAAGGGCAAAUGAGAGCCCUGGUGUGUGCAGGCUCCCUCCUCCUGAGAUAACCCAGGGCACUCCUGGACACAGGACAGGGCAGCUGACGCCCAUCAGCUCAGAAAGGAAACCAUUCGUUUACUCAGAGGCCAACACAAAGCCACCAGAUGGGAACAGUUUUCUGUCACUGUCUCUCAAGGCUGGAGCACAGCUCUCCAGCCUUCUGUGACAUCAAUUUUAUGCUGAGAGCACAGCAGUCUCAAAAAACACUGAAGAGCCAUUUACUUGUGAAGUAUAAGAAACAUCUGUCAGAGGCUGAAAGUGUUAAAGAAAUGCUUAACUGUACAUUGAGUUGGCAGAAUCUUAGGCUCAGACUACAGGAAAAAACAUUAGCAGUAAAAGUCCACAAGAUUUAUCCUAAUUUAUCAGAUUACUUCCUCAGAAAGUCUCCUUUUGAACUGCUCUUCAACAGAAGAACAAAUGUGUAGACUUCAAUGCUUAAUAAAGCUAAAAGCUUCUCCCUGGGGUAAUUGAAAUUUUUCUAUCAAAGGGUAGAUAGACCUGGUUGCAGCUGCAACAAAGAAGAAACAUAUAAAGCCAAGUGGAAAGCAGUUAGACAGCAUUGGUGGUGUAGGACCAUUGAACAUGGUCUUGCUAAUUGGAAUCUAUAGCACAGGACAUUCAACUACAUGCUGGGCAAAUGACCCUGAAAGUUUCAAGUCUAUCUAGUAUAAAAAAAAAAAAGUUCAGAUGUAAAAAUAAUCAUAGGAAUGAUGGAUUCUGUAUCCUUGAAUGGGCAUAACCAACCAGAGAUCUGGGUAACUGGCAAAUUUCUUUUUUAAAUAAGGCCCUUUGAGUCCCAUAUAUGCAUCUACUUUCACAAGCAUUUCAAAACCCGUCUUCUAAUAAUUUCACACAGAGCUUUCAGAGCAGCAAUGUUCAAAAGAAUGAAAGUAAUGAAACACAGCAAAGUUUUACAUUUUUAUUUCUGUACUUUGGGAAAAUUCCUAUUGAAGACAGAAGGCAGUUCAAAUUGGAAUUGCUUUACUGCCAACAAAAAUGUGUGACUCUUGAUCUAACGAAAAAUUAGAGAGAUUGAAAAGCAGAAGUAGACUUAGGAAAGAUUUCAGUUACAGCAGGAUGCAGCCCUUAUUGCAUUUGUAGUUCAAACUGUGAUCUCUAAGAAGAUCUAAAUUGCUCUGGAGUGUGGAAUUUAGGGUAUUUGAGACUUUAUUUUCUCAGAGGAAUAAGUAUGGGUAGCUAAGAAAUGAGGUUUUAUUGUCACACAUUUAGAAAACAUAUGUCACUUUAAUUUAAAAUAAAAUGUCAUUUAAUGAUGAAAAUGUUACAUUCUCAAAACCCUUGUCACGCAAAUAUGAAGUUGUUCAAAAUGGUUUCAAGAAGUGGAUAUUUUAAUUUUUUUUUGACGCUUUCAUUCCAGUAAACUGAUUUGGAUUAGCAUACUUUUAUUUUAUAUUGGAAGAA
Molecule: non-coding RNA, 2853 nt
Organism: Agelaius phoeniceus (red-winged blackbird)
Lineage: Eukaryota; Metazoa; Chordata; Aves; Passeriformes; Icteridae
Source: RefSeq, a predicted model, not a curated record